GGGGGUUCUUCCUAGUAAACUGGUUAAGAGGUGGCUCAAACACUCCAGCAUGCGCUGUGCGCCUCCACCUCCCCUCCAUACUAUACGGAGUACUCCCCAAGUUUCGUCAACUGGGACUCCCCACCGUGGGCAACGUCGAAUGUUCAGCAUCGCUGGUGCCGUCCACUGGUGACUGAUCCUGCAACGAGACUAAGCCGCUCAAGGUCGUAGUCGCGAUCUUGAGUGGAAAGGCACCAACCACCGAGAGGGUUGGUGUUGCUGAGAUGAAGGUUGUUGUGGAGAGAACUGGUGGAAUAGUUGUGCUUGCAGAAAGUUUUGGUCAUUAUGUUUUUAAAGAUUCACUUCAACACAUCUUUCAGUCAAGUGACAAUGAUCUUGAUUUUUCAUUCAAUGGUAUAUUUGAGAUUAACUGCUCAAAGGACAUCAAAAUCCUAGGAAUUAUUGCUGUC
Panicum virgatum (switchgrass) is the source of this 449-nucleotide long non-coding RNA. RefSeq lists it as uncharacterized. The record is from RefSeq and is a predicted model, not a curated record. The transcript is spliced from 4 exons. NCBI's taxonomy places the organism in Eukaryota, Viridiplantae, Streptophyta, Magnoliopsida, Poales, Poaceae.